GCUUGCAUGAAGCCGGAAUCGCUAGUAAUCGCGGAUCAGCAUGCCGCGGUGAAUACGUUCCUGGGCCUUGUACACACCGCCCGUCACACCACGAGAGUUUGUAACACCCGAAGUCGGUGAGGUAACCUUUUGGAGCCAGCCGCCGAAGGUGGGACAGAUGAUUGGGGUGAAGUCGUAACAAGGUAA
This 186-nucleotide ribosomal RNA is filed under the name uncultured low G+C Gram-positive bacterium. RNAcentral describes it as "partial 16S ribosomal RNA". It matches the Rfam family "Bacterial small subunit ribosomal RNA", at positions 1314 to 1499 of the family's 1533-position model. Lineage: Bacteria; Bacillati; Bacillota. The record is from RNAcentral.